This 253-nucleotide ribosomal RNA is filed under the name uncultured bacterium. RNAcentral describes it as "partial 16S ribosomal RNA". It matches the Rfam family "Bacterial small subunit ribosomal RNA", at positions 524 to 776 of the family's 1533-position model. The record is from RNAcentral.
UACGUAGGGUGCGAGCGUUAAUCGGAAUUACUGGGCGUAAAGCGUGCGCAGGCGGUUUUGUAAGUCCGACGUGAAAUCCCCGGGCUUAACCUGGGAAUGGCAUUUGGGACUGCAAGGCUGGAGUGCGGCAGAGGAGACUGGAAUUCCUGGUGUAGCAGUGAAAUGCGUAGAUAUCAGGAGGAAUACCGAUGGCGAAGGCAGGUCUCUGGGCUGACACUGACGCUCAUGCACGAAAGCGUGGGGAGCAAACAGG